AAUGGAUUCCUUGUCCAAUAAUUCAUGUCAAAGUGGAGCCUAAGAAUUCCAUUCACAAGUUAAUUACCGUGAGCAGUUCAGGUGGUGGAGUUCGUUCCAUUAACCAUUGGUUGGUGUUACAAUCCCUGCCUUGUUAGUAUGCAAAAGGAAAUAAAAUCAGCAUCAACAUUGGCCAGACAACAUCCCAGACAUUGACAGAAAACUCAAAAGGAGCUAUAUGUAAAAAUAUGUUUUUAAUUUUAGGAGACCGAGUUGGUUUUCCUGCUUCGUGUUGUAAACCAAAGAAUGUUUGAUGGAUGGAGGUCUAGAAGUGAAUGGAAGUAUCACACAAGUGGUUUUCCUUCCCCAGUUUGGAAAGAGGCAGGUGAGCUGAUUGUUAUUCUUGCUCUUGUUCCUGAGAUUGGUGGCUGACGUGCUUUAACCAUUAUAUCCAAGCAUGACGGGCCGAGACACGUCUUUAAGGAUUUCCUUCACUCCUCUUCUAUCUUUUCCUUUUUUAAAUUUGUUUUUCACAUGUAGUUGUAUUUUUGUGCUAUAAAAAGAUUACUGUUCCCUUUUUAAAGUUUCACUGAAAAAAAAAGAAAGAAGUUGCAUAUAUUCCUUUCUCUUCGAUCUGAUCGGCAAUCGUAUCAAUGAUUAAUUGGAAAAGUGCGACAAAUAAUCAUCCACAGCAGGAUUCACGGGUACCCUGUCGGUGAGAGUCUUUCUGCUCAUCAGCACGCGUGUCGUGUUCUCCAAGAGUCCUGUGUGUUGAUGUGUGUUAUCGCCUCGUGCACAUAGCGCACGCUGAGGGGCCGGACAGUUCCCCCCCAGCUCUUAUCAGACCCGGGCCCCUUGCAUUGCCGUUAGGACGAAAGGCGCUAUCUCACCGAGCCCCCUCUCCUGACCGGACUGUCCACCACAGAUUAGUCAAGAGAAGUCGAUUUACUACCCGGCCAGUUAGUUACCAAACACUUCUUCUUUUGCUCUAUCUCUCCAACUUGUAACACCAAAAAACAGUUUGGGGUUGGCUCGACACUAAAUAACGGACUUUUUCUAACAUUGCCUUCAUUUUUAUUUCUUUUUUUUUUUUUUUUUAACUGAAAUUAGCUGGAGGGGAACCCACUGACUCCGGGCUGCGUUUUUCUUCAUGGACACAGGUGUACAGGUGUGUGAGGUAUAGGUGACAGUAUGUUAAGGUGGUUUAAAAUGGGCUCUGAGUAUUCCACAAUGGGACAAAAGGUUAAAAAAAUCCUUUUAUAUAGAUAUUGUGAAUCUGAACAAAGGCAUUGAUCUCACAGGGUCAAAUUUAAUCAAUCCAGCUGUCGCAUUUUGCUCCUCGUCAUACGCGCGUUAAAAAAACGCACUUUUACGCUUCAACUCUUGGCUACAAGAUUAAGUGUUUGGGCUCUGAGGGCGGCCAAAAUGUUGGUGAACGACACCAAAUGCUGUGCCUGAACGCACCCGACGUGGACACAGAUGGACGACAGAAGCCCCUCCUCUUUUUGUUUUUUUUGGACAACUUUCUGGCCACCAAUGACCCAGAUUGAAAUGAAGUGGAAUAUUAGUACAGCCCCAAAAUGAAAAACGCAUAUCUUUCCUCUGACCUGGAGUGCUAUAUGUCAGUCCGGAUGGUCUGCCGAAUAUUAAGGGAUUAUUUUCUUUCAACCUAAGUUCAUACAUGAAACUGCUCACAACAAGAGUUGGUGAGGAACGGAAGCUGAAGCUGAAAGGAGAGUGAAUAUUGGACGACCAUUCGACUACAAUGUUGAUCCACGGCUGCUCCGGGCACUUGUUUAGGGUUAAGAAGUCCAUGUUUACAGGUUGUUCCGCUGCCCCAAAGCCUCCGUGUGUGAACGGUGAAUCCCGCUGCAACAAAGCCGAGCCGCCCACGUCCCCGACGCAACAUCGAAGCCAUAGAGUCACGCCACGUAUCGGCAAUUCUUCUGCAAAAAUAUAAAUGGCCAACUAGGGCCUUAAACCCCAAACACUGUGUGUGUGUGUGUGUGUGCUGUGUGUUGUGUGUGUGUGUGCGCGUGGGUCGCAUAUUUAAUUCUUCAUGUCAGCUACUCAGCAUUGUUGUAGGUGACAGACUGCGUAAACCCCCUCCCCCAAAAACAUCAAAUUGGUGCUCGU
This is a long non-coding RNA of Cyclopterus lumpus (lumpfish), 2115 nucleotides long. RefSeq lists it as uncharacterized. The transcript has 3 exons. The record is from RefSeq and is a predicted model, not a curated record. NCBI's taxonomy places the organism in Eukaryota, Metazoa, Chordata, Actinopteri, Perciformes, Cyclopteridae.